GCACCACUCGCUUAAUGGUAGAGCGUCUGUUUCACAUACAGAAGAUCGGGGUUCGAUUCCCUGGUGGUGCA
Molecule: transfer RNA, 71 nt
Filed under: Deltaproteobacteria bacterium
Lineage: Bacteria; Pseudomonadati; Myxococcota; Myxococcia
Description: tRNA-Val
Rfam family: tRNA
About the family: Transfer RNA (tRNA) molecules are approximately 80 nucleotides in length. Their secondary structure includes four short double-helical elements and three loops (D, anti-codon, and T loops). Further hydrogen bonds mediate the characteristic L-shaped molecular structure. tRNAs have two regions of fundamental functional importance: the anti-codon, which is responsible for specific mRNA codon recognition, and the 3' end, to which the tRNAs corresponding amino acid is attached (by aminoacyl-tRNA synthetases). tRNAs cope with the degeneracy of the genetic code in two manners: having more than one tRNA (with a specific anti-codon) for a particular amino acid; and 'wobble' base-pairing, i.e. permitting non-standard base-pairing at the 3rd anti-codon position.
Source: RNAcentral